Molecule: long non-coding RNA, 1144 nt
Organism: Myxocyprinus asiaticus (Chinese sucker)
Lineage: Eukaryota; Metazoa; Chordata; Actinopteri; Cypriniformes; Catostomidae
Exons: 3
Source: RefSeq, a predicted model, not a curated record
CCUGGUUCUUCUACUACACGCGUGUAAAAGCGUCUGAGCUCAUUCAACACUGCUAGCGUGUCUGGAAGCGUAAGAGUCAUGUUUGACUCCUCGAGAUCUGGAGGGGUGAGAGGGGGUCAGGACCAGUUCAACUGGAAUGAUGUGAAAGUGGACAAACAGAGAAAAUUACUUGAGGAAUUCCCUAAUGGCACUGGUUGGCCGCUGGCAGAAAGGGAAAGAUUUGACAUGGCAUGCCAAAGAUAAAAAAGGUGUCGCACCGCUGACAAAAGAGCAGGAGACGGCAACUGUGCAGGAGGCAGAACAUUAGGCCAUGAUGGCAUGAUGUAUUUUUCCCCUGUCUUGAUUGUUGGCAGGAUUUUGCAGAUGUGUGCAGGAGAGGAGCGGGAUGUGGACAGGGUCUCUGGGCAUGGAAGUCCCAGGCGGAGAAAAGACCCGCGGGACCACCACGGUCCUAAUCCAUCAAGGAGCAGUCAGAGUGGAGCCGGAGCCCGUGACAGCCGUUCGGGGGGGACAAAGGCCGCCUGUAGGAGCUUGAGCCCCCCUCACUAGCACCGACGGCACGACACAGACUCGUCCUCUGACGGCCACCAUGCUGGUCGAGGGUCCCCAUCACAAAGCCACCGGCAGCGCCACGACACCGUCACAGACGACUGAUGCCCUUUAACCCCCCCUCCCCCCCCAAGAAUAAUGGGAAUUAAAAAAAUAAGAAUAAAGUAAAAAAUCAAAAGAAAGAAAUAAGGAAUAAUAUUUUGCUAAAAGCCUAAAAAUCUAUUUUUUGCACCAUAAUUUUUUUACAAAUUUUUUUAGGACAGUUAAGCACAUUUCCUCCGUAAUGGAAAAAAAUACUCCUAUUCUCAUUACUGUAAUAAAAAAAAAUAAUUAAAAAUUUUUUUUUUUUAAAUAAUUUUUUUUAACAUUUAUAAACCAUGGUAUACAGGUAUAUGUAGUAGGUUGUAUUAGUUAUGUUGCCUUUCAUUUUUGUCAAUUUUAAAUAAAAAAAUCAACUGUAGUGUAGUAAAAAAUACUGUAUUAAAGUAAUGAGAAUCACUAUUUAAGGGUAGUUCAUCCAAAAAUGAAAAUUCACUCAUCAUUUACUCACCCUUAUGCCAUCUCAGAUGUGUAUGACUUUCUUUCUUCUGCUGAG